Molecule: long non-coding RNA, 611 nt
Organism: Mesocricetus auratus (golden hamster)
Lineage: Eukaryota; Metazoa; Chordata; Mammalia; Rodentia; Cricetidae
Exons: 2
Source: RefSeq, a predicted model, not a curated record
UUUUUUUUUCCUUUAAAAUUCUGGCAAUAGACAAGGGACUUCACUUCCUCCAGGUAGCUGUUGCAUCAGAGUCCCCACCGGUAGGAUUAAACAAUAAAGUCUUUCGUUUGCAGUUUGCUGAAGUCUGUCUCCCUGGUGGUCUCUGAAGGUCUUCGAGACUUGGGCACAACAAUGAUAAACACAAAAAAAGACUCCAAGAUUUAUUCUGUGCUUAUUUUUGUGAUAUGGAAAAAGUUGUAAAAGCUCUUUUUGAUAAAUAGGAUGAGAAUGUUCAAAAAUGCACAGCUAUGUUCAAGAUCUAUUUAUGUCAAAUCUGGUCAGAAAUUCUGGAGGAAGUGACAGUGAUGGAAUUAAAUGUCAAUGUGAUGAAACAGACCUGCCAGGAGACUGAGUACAGUACACCUCUGAGUGUGUCUAUGAUGAUUUUUUUUUUCAGAGAAGAUUAACAAAAGUCAGAAGACAACUUCUGGGAGUCAGCUUUCCUUUCACAAUGUGGAUCUGGAAGACUGAAUUCAAGAUAUAUAUCAGCACACACCUUCACCCACUGAUCUCCUCCUGGCCCAAACUUUGUGUUUUCGUAUAAAAAUAAACUACACUGUUCAUUAACUCAA